GCACCCGUAGUUUAAAGGAUAGAAUAACGGAUUCCGGUUCCGUUGGUCACGGUUCGAUUCCGUGCGGGUGUACUA
RNAcentral lists this transfer RNA (75 nucleotides) under Xylanibacter ruminicola. RNAcentral's name for it is "tRNA-Arg". It matches the Rfam family "tRNA". Rfam says of the family: Transfer RNA (tRNA) molecules are approximately 80 nucleotides in length. Their secondary structure includes four short double-helical elements and three loops (D, anti-codon, and T loops). Lineage: Bacteria; Pseudomonadati; Bacteroidota; Bacteroidia; Bacteroidales; Prevotellaceae. The record is from RNAcentral.